This is an RNA transcript of Odobenus rosmarus divergens (Pacific walrus), 207 nucleotides long. RefSeq lists it as uncharacterized. NCBI's taxonomy places the organism in Eukaryota, Metazoa, Chordata, Mammalia, Carnivora, Odobenidae. The transcript is spliced from 2 exons. The record is from RefSeq and is a predicted model, not a curated record.
AUUCAUGCAUCCACCACAGAAAUGCCUGAGAUAUACCAGGUCAGAGGAACCUUCCAGCAAGCCUCUUAUCUGCUUUCCUAAGGAGCCAGUGUGUUGUAAUGCUGGGUCCCCUCAGGCUACACCCACACAAGGGUACGUCCACCUACACGUGAAAGAGCGUGAGCCCGAGAAUGAGGACCAACCUCUCCUCAAAUGAGAAGUCACUCC